CUCCUACGGGGGGCAGCAGUGGGGGAUAUUGGACAAUGGGGGAAACCCUGAUCCAGCGACGCCGCGUGAGUGAAGAAGUAUUUCGGUAUGUAAAGCUCUGUCAGCAGGGAAGAAAGAAAUGACGGUACCUGACCAAGAAGCCCCGGCUAACUACGUGCCAGCAGCCGCGGUAAUACGUAGGGGGCAAGCGUUAUCCGGAAUUACUGGGUGUAAAGGGAGCGUAGACGGUGAUGCAAGUCUGGAGUGAAAGGCGGGGGCCCAACCCCCGGACUGCGCUGGGAACGGUAUGAAUUGAGUGCAGGAGG
This 305-nucleotide ribosomal RNA is filed under the name uncultured bacterium. Its description in RNAcentral is "partial 16S ribosomal RNA". It matches the Rfam family "Bacterial small subunit ribosomal RNA", at positions 336 to 655 of the family's 1533-position model. The record is from RNAcentral.